UACGUAGGGAGUAAGUGUAGUUCUGAUUUAUUGGGCGUAAAGGUCGCGUAGUCGGCGCUGUAAGUCACUUGUGUAAUCUCUGAGCUUUAAUCAGAACGGCCAAGUGAUACUGCUGUGCUAGAGUGCGGAAGAGGCAACCGUAAUUCUUGGUGUAGCGGUUAAAUGCGUAGAUAUCAAGAGGAACACCUGAGGCGAAGGCUGGUUGCUGGGCCGACCCUGACGCUGAUGCGCUUAAGCCAGGUGAAUAAACGGG
This 253-nucleotide ribosomal RNA is filed under the name uncultured bacterium. Its description in RNAcentral is "partial 16S ribosomal RNA". It matches the Rfam family "Bacterial small subunit ribosomal RNA", at positions 524 to 776 of the family's 1533-position model. The record is from RNAcentral.